This 230-nucleotide unclassified non-coding RNA is filed under the name uncultured fungus. RNAcentral describes it as "sequence contains ITS1, 5.8S rRNA gene". The stretch from base 182 to 230 matches the Rfam family "5.8S ribosomal RNA", at positions 1 to 49 of the family's 154-position model. The record is from RNAcentral. Lineage: Eukaryota; Fungi.
UCUCCGUAGGUGAACCUGCGGAGGGAUCAUUACUGAGUUCUGGGUCUAAUCGACCCGACCUCCAACCCUUUGUUGUCCGACUCUGUUGCCUCGGGGGCGACCCUGCCGUCCGCGGCUGAGCGCCCCCGGGGUCAAUCAAACACUGCAUUCUCUGCGUCGGAGUAUUAGUAAAUCUAAUCAAAACUUUCAACAACGGAUCUCUUGGUUCUGGCAUCGAUGAAGAACGCAGC